GAUGAACGCUGGCGGCGUGCCUAAUACAUGCAAGUCGAGCGAACAGAUAAGGAGCUUGCUCCUUGACGUUAGCGGCGGACGGGUGAGUAACACGUGGGUAACCUACCUAUAAGACUGGAAUAACUCCGGGAAACCGGGGCUAAUGCCGGAUAACAUGUUGAACCGCAUGGUUCUACAGUGAAAGGCGGCUUUGCUGUCACUUAUAGAUGGACCCGCGCCGUAUUAGCUAGUUGGUGAGGUAACGGCUCACCAAGGCAACGAUACGUAGCCGACCUGAGAGGGUGAUCGGCCACACUGGAACUGAGACACGGUCCAGGCUCCUACGGGAGGCAGCAGUAGGGAAUCUUCCGCAAUGGGCGAAAGCCUGACGGAGCAACGCCGCGUGAGUGAUGAAGGUCUUCGGAUCGUAAAACUCUGUUAUUAGGGAAGAACAAAUGCGUAAGUAACUGUGCGCGUCUUGACGGUACCUAAUCAGAAAGCCACGGCUAACUACGUG
RNAcentral lists this ribosomal RNA (496 nucleotides) under uncultured bacterium. RNAcentral describes it as "partial 16S ribosomal RNA". It matches the Rfam family "Bacterial small subunit ribosomal RNA", at positions 28 to 507 of the family's 1533-position model. The record is from RNAcentral.